GACCCGAAAUAUGGUGAACUAUGCCUGAGCAGGGCGAAGUAAGGGAAAACUCUGGUGGAGGCCCGCAGCGAUGCUGACGUGCAAAUAGUUCGUCUGACUUAGGUAUAGGGGCAAAAGAUUAAUCGAACCAUCUAGUAGCUGG
RNAcentral lists this ribosomal RNA (142 nucleotides) under Olea europaea subsp. europaea. Its description in RNAcentral is "LSU_rRNA_bacteria". It matches the Rfam family "Eukaryotic large subunit ribosomal RNA", at positions 813 to 954 of the family's 3401-position model. Lineage: Eukaryota; Viridiplantae; Streptophyta; Magnoliopsida; Lamiales; Oleaceae. The record is from RNAcentral.